UACAGAGGGUGCAAGCGUUAAUCGGAAUUACUGGGCGUAAAGCGUGCGUAGUCGGCCACUCAAGUCGGGUGUGAAAGCCCCGGGCUCAACCUGGGAAUUGCAUUCGAUACUGUGUGGCUAGAGUUCGGCAGAGGGAAGUGGAAUUUCGGGUGUAGCGGUGAAAUGCGUAGAUAUCCGAAGGAACAUCAGUGGCGAAAGCGACUUCCUGGACCAGAACUGACGAUCAGGCACGAAAGCGUGGGGAGCAAAC
Molecule: ribosomal RNA, 250 nt
Filed under: uncultured bacterium
Lineage: Bacteria
Description: partial 16S ribosomal RNA
Rfam family: Bacterial small subunit ribosomal RNA
Source: RNAcentral